Molecule: long non-coding RNA, 1756 nt
Organism: Xenopus tropicalis (tropical clawed frog)
Lineage: Eukaryota; Metazoa; Chordata; Amphibia; Anura; Pipidae
Exons: 3
Source: RefSeq, a predicted model, not a curated record
AGAUAUAAAAGUAAAAAUAAUGAUAAAAUUGUUCUUACAGCGCAACAGUGUUUAGGAUUGGGGAGGGCUCAGUGACCUCCAUUAGAAAACUGGAGAGGAAAAAAAAAGUCACUUUCAGCAAGUUGGUCAAAGUCACCAGCAGGUGGCACUGUUGUUGAAUUGAAGACUGUUUUGUGCUAGGUGAGGGGGUCUCUAGAGCAUCUCUGGCAAAAGAACAUGAUGUCUUGUAGUGAUGCCGGGUCAGGAAAAACUCAACCCAACCCUGAUCCUAACGUGAAAAUGUUACCCUUGUAGGACCUGCACCCCACCUGUACCAGCACCUUUCCCUGCUACUUCUAUGGGCGCCUAAAGUUCCAAGACAGGGAAACUUAGGGAGCAGGGGAAGCAUGAACUUCCCCAGUCUGACCCAAACCCAACCUGAACCUGCAAUGGCCGCCCCAAAUUUCAACUCUAACCCGCCUGGGUAAAGUUGCGGGUCCUGCACAUCACUAACAUCUUUCUUUGUGGCAGAUACACAGUACACCCAGGGCCAGAGCUAAGCUGACCAGAUGUGAAAUAAGAGGAACUUUGUGCAACUGGACCUCCUCAGAUUGGGCUGAUACUAUUGGCUGGACCACCGGCCAAUGAUCAGAACACAACAGCAGCCCAUCAGGGAAAGACUUGCUCAGGCACAGGCUGGCUGUGUUUGCUGCCCUUCCAUCUGAGCAGAAGUUGACUGUUUGGCCUUCUGGGCAGCUGUAAUGGGACAGGCAAGUCAGUCCAUGUAUGUGUGCCCUAGUGUAGUUGCAAGGUGAGGGGUGGUAUCUAGUAGUUGUGCCAUGAGAAAUAAGGCAAUCUGGUGCCAAGGCUGGAGCUGCCAUAAGGGGUGACAUCUUUAUUGCAAGUGUUGGGUCACAAACCAACCAGACCAGAGAGCCACCUUGAGAAGAAUCCAAGCCCUAUAUCUCCAGUCGCUGCUGGGUGUUUCCUUUAUCAUCUGUAUCUCAUAGCGGGAAAUAAUUGGAGCAAAUCAGAACCAGCUGCUCUGAGAUUCAGAACAUCCUCAGCUUCACUCCGACUCCAGAACAACCCAGCUCCCUGCGAGCACCUUCAUCUUCUGUUCCAUCAGGCAGAGUUGGCCAGCUGCCCGGUGAUCAUUAUCCCCCAAUCAAAAGGCACAGCUUUAAUGUUAAAGAAUGAAAUUCUAAAUGCACAUACCUUUCCAUGAUAACGAAGUGCUUUCCCAGUCGAGCAGUCGUGCCCUGGCAGGCAGGCAAUUAGGCCCAGUUGUACUCCGUGCAGAUGAAUAUUACUGGUGCCAAUGAACUGCUCUGACAUGUUGGCUGGGAAUGAAGCGAUGCCUUGCACAUCAAAAAGGUGGGUGGUAUCGGCGUUUUCCAUUUUUGUGGAAUCAGCGAUUUUGCUGCUUGUAGCAAGUGUAAGGUUGCUGCCUAUUGAGAUAAGCUGUCCUCUCACAACACAUUUAAGGGUCUCCCAGACUGUACCUGAGGUUACUUCAGCAGAGGAAUUUUCCUGUAUUGUUUGGGUGAUGCAUGUUUUUAUCUGAUCUCUCAGCUUCUCUUUAUGUAAUAGGUAUUCGUUAAUCCUCCAAGUAAAUUCUGGUUUGGUUGUUUUCGGGAUAAAAAAAUUUGCUGAUAUUGGGGAAUGGUCUGAUAGUGUACCAAUGCCUAUUUUUGUGUGUACAAAUAAAUGGAGCCAAUAUUGUGAGGCCAGUAGGUAAUCUAUUCUUGAAUAAACAGAAUGUGUUUUGGAAAAA